UGCAUAACUCAGUGGUAGAGUGCUUGCCUAGCAUGCAUGAAGCCCUGAGUUCAAACCCCAGUACUGCAA
RNAcentral lists this transfer RNA (69 nucleotides) under Ictidomys tridecemlineatus (thirteen-lined ground squirrel). RNAcentral describes it as "Spermophilus tridecemlineatus (thirteen-lined ground squirrel) tRNA". It matches the Rfam family "tRNA". Rfam says of the family: Transfer RNA (tRNA) molecules are approximately 80 nucleotides in length. The record is from Rfam by way of RNAcentral. Lineage: Eukaryota; Metazoa; Chordata; Mammalia; Rodentia; Sciuridae.